UUUAAUUUUUAUACGACCGCAAAAAAAUUUUGUGGUCGUAUAUUGGUAUGACGUUGGCGUCGUCGUCGUCUUGAGAUAGUAUUAAGAUAUUAAGAUUAACUCCUGUUGAUUUAAACAUGGAUAUAGUUUCUUGUUGUUAGACUAUGACGAUUUUAAUAUUUUGUAAAUUUGUAAACCAUUAGCAAUACCAAAUUUAUUACAUUGUAUUAUUUCUCAUUAAUGUUACCGAUAAGAGUUCUUAGGUAUGUAUUGUUCUAUCAAAACAAUUAUGUUUGCUUUUGUAUUGUUCAAGUAUAUAGUUAAGACAUCCCAUUUUAAUAAACAAGUCAAAGACUCUACUUGCUAUGAUAUACCAUUUUUCACCAUCCAAACAAGUAUGUUUGUUCAUUGCGUACCUUGAAAAGGGCACAGGCAUUUGAUGCAAGUAUGAAGAAGUUAUAUAUUUAUGAUUUUAUUGUGAUUUUUAAGACAAAGAUAAUAGAGUACUGGUUCAUUGUUCCUCAUUUGUUUUACAACAGUAUAUGUGCUUGUACACUCUACAUGUUUUUUUUAUUAGUAAAUAAAUCAAAGAAAAUUU
Mytilus californianus (California mussel) is the source of this 577-nucleotide long non-coding RNA. RefSeq lists it as uncharacterized. Lineage: Eukaryota; Metazoa; Mollusca; Bivalvia; Mytilida; Mytilidae. The transcript is spliced from 2 exons. The record is from RefSeq and is a predicted model, not a curated record.